Molecule: long non-coding RNA, 1642 nt
Organism: Chiroxiphia lanceolata (lance-tailed manakin)
Lineage: Eukaryota; Metazoa; Chordata; Aves; Passeriformes; Pipridae
Exons: 3
Source: RefSeq, a predicted model, not a curated record
CGAUUGUACUAUCUCAAGGGAAGUAUUAAGGUUUUUCUGAUCCAUCUUUCUCCUUUUCUGGGCCUCCAGUGUGCUAGUCCUACAGAACGCAGGGACCAAUUUCAUCUCCUGUGACUAUUUUUAAGAGUAAAAUACCACCUGACUUGGUGUGGGGUACUUUAGUGUGCUGAGAUUAGAAAAGUAGCUGGCAGAGGCACUGUGAGAAGGAACUGAAGGACACAGCAGAAGUCCUGAAGCUUGUGUACGUCCUCACAUGUCUUGCCAAGCAUCCUGUCAGAGGGAGAAGGGAUUUUGUUGACUCUCUACUCUCCUCCUCUCCAGAUGCUCUGUGGUUCUUGUCAUCUGUGCCUUCUGCAACCUCCAUGCCCAUAGUAUCAUCACAGAAGCAGUGUUUAUCCUCAAGGAGAAGGAAUUAUUUUUUUUAGGGGAUACGAAAGCUGCAUAGAUCUUUUCUUACUUUACCACCUCAGUGGGUCUCAGGCAUAGAUUUCUGAACUCUGCUGAGAUUUGCCUGAGGGACAGAUGGAAGAAUGCAGAGGCCACCUUAGCAGUCUUCAAGAAGGUAAAUUAAAUCUUAGAUUGAACUUAAUCAUAUCAUUAUGAGUAAUGGUAAACUUCCCCUUUACUUCUCCUUUACAAACUUCCCCAAUGGAGCUCAUUGUGAAACCUGCCAUAACUUCUGUCUCCCAGCAGUUUUGUUCCAAGUCUUUUUAGAUGGGUGAAACAAAUUUCAGUGAUUGGUGUACAGUAUAACUGUUGAGAGACUUGUUCUUUCUUACCAUUAUAUUGUCUCAGGCAAAAUAUAUAAAACACAAUAUUUAUAAAUUACCACUGGUAGCAGCAGCUUCACUAUGGUAGAAACAUUCUUGCUUCAGAAUAAAUAUAUUAGAUGACGCUGAUAAGGCCAAAACCUAAGUACUGUAUGAAUCUGAAUUAUUGUUUUCCUUGUGAAUGAAGACAUCACCAUAGCAUGAAGCAGUGGGUUUCACUGGCCUUAGGAGCUUUUGUGAUUCCAACUCCAAAAUCUUUCUCUAACCUGUUUGUUUUUCAGGUUUUCUUCAGCACAAAGUUUUAGGAGUAUAUAAUUCCUAUGUUGCAUAUAUAGAACACAUCAUAUAAAACUUUCGUUUUUAAAUAUUGUCAGGAAAAGCAAGCACGACCUCCCUGUGACAAAGGAAAAUGCAUAUGUAGUUAUUUGUGUGCUUUGAAGAGCUGCUCAGUAGAGUUGCUGGAUCAAAGGCAGUUCAAGGUAAGAAUUGGUUGUAGCAAAUACGGAACUGAUAGUUUAGAAUUUCAAGCUGGAGAAAUUUCCUCUGUGAAAAGCAUUUUAAAAUUAAUUAACAAGAAAAUUUCGUUACCACCACUGAAGGAGAAUGGCACUGUUGGCAAACCUCCGGGCCUCACUAUUACAAACGUAGAAGCAGAAGUUGGGGUGUUCUUUUAGGAAUUACAAUUACACCUGUCGUGUGUAAAUUACAGCACAUUGUCAAAUGAGUAAUAGUGGAUUGGUUAAAAACCUGGAAUAAAUCCAAUGUACCAAUGGCUUUCUGUCAUCUGUCAAGUCACUUAAAGAGGAAUUUUGCGAAGUUCUGCCUGGGGUCUGGUUCUGUUCAAAAUUUUAUUAAUAGCUUGAAUAGAUGAA